Molecule: long non-coding RNA, 233 nt
Organism: Arabidopsis thaliana (thale cress)
Lineage: Eukaryota; Viridiplantae; Streptophyta; Magnoliopsida; Brassicales; Brassicaceae
Product: other RNA
Exons: 1
Source: RefSeq
AAGGUAACUCCUCCACUCAAUAUGUUACGCCAGCCACCCCUACAAAAACAAAUGUCUAACAUGAAUGAGAUCUACACUCUUAAGUCUUAACCAUGUUUGACUUGAGCUCUUCGCUCUUCGCUCUUGCUUGCUAAAGCGAUUUGCAUUGUUGCCGUUAGAAAGAAAAAGAAAAACAAUCUUCAUUAUUGAAAUAACAAAGCGAAUUGAAGCAAGAAAGUUUGAUGUAAUACCGA